GAAGGUCGCAUCAUCCCAAUGCCGGAAGAGGUGACAACCGGCCUGAGAACCAAAAUUGUUGGAUACAGACUGCCCACCGUGUCACCGGCGAGAAGCAGUCUGGCGGCCGAAAGGCUGCUGGUUCUUCCACGUCGUUGGCGUAUGGGUGCAAAAAUAUGGGAUAUAUAGUUGCCUGUUCUCGCGCUCUGUGGACUUUCGGUCGUCGUCCUCAUAGCAGACCCGUUGUGCUAAGCACGAUGGGAUGCUCGGGCGUCUUGACCGUUGUGGCUACGCUGGCGCAUGAGAUGUUGUGGACAUGUGGCUGCCUGGAGGCCCCCCGUCGUUGUGCGGCCGACUCCAGGUGCAGUGUCCUUUCAAUUGUAUGGGUUUCAAAACCUAUGUCGUUGACGAGUGCUUGCGUUCUGCUACCCGUUCUGCGGGAAGUAGAGCUUCGUACAACUUACCUUCGUCGCGUGCGCCCUUUGGGYGUGUCGCGUCGAUCACCUAGCGCUUGCGGUGUUGCCUCGCGGCGUCAGCCAUCUAGGUCGGCAUCGUCUAGGACACCUCGCAAUCGCUCUUGGU
RNAcentral lists this unclassified non-coding RNA (561 nucleotides) under Triodia lanigera. RNAcentral's name for it is "partial external transcribed spacer". Lineage: Eukaryota; Viridiplantae; Streptophyta; Magnoliopsida; Poales; Poaceae. The record is from RNAcentral.